GUAAUAUGGACGUAACCAUGCUCCCAAGAAAAUCCGCUAAACUUAUCCAUGCGGCACCCGUACCGUAAACGGACACACGUGGUCGGGUUGAGAAUACUGAGGCGCUCGAGUGACUCACGGUUAAGGAACUAGGCAAAUUGACCCUGUAACUUCGGGAUAAAGGGUCCUCGUCGUAAGGCGAGGCGCAGAGAAUAGGUCCAGGCAACUGUUUAACAAAAACACAUGGCUGUGCUAAAUGGAAACAUGAUGUAUACAGCCUGACACCUGCCCGGUGCUGGAAGGUUAAGAGGAGAUGUCAUCGCAAGAGAAGCGUUGAAUUGAAGCCCCAGUAAACGGCGGCCGUAACUAUAACGGUCCUAAGGUAGCGAAAUUCCUUGUCGGGUAAGUUCCGACCUGCACGAAUGGUGUAAUGAUCUGGACACUGUCUCAACCGUGAGCUCGGUGAAAUUGUAGUAUCGGUGAAGAUGCCGAUUACCCGCGAUGGGACGAAAAGACCCCGUGAACCUUUACUAUAGCUUUACAUUGAAUUUGGGCAGACGAUGUGUAGGAUAGGCCGGAG
Molecule: ribosomal RNA, 559 nt
Filed under: Parabacteroides sp. AM44-16
Lineage: Bacteria; Pseudomonadati; Bacteroidota; Bacteroidia; Bacteroidales; Tannerellaceae
Description: bacterial LSU rRNA
Rfam family: Bacterial large subunit ribosomal RNA
Source: RNAcentral